GGAGGAAUAUUGCACAACGGGGGGAACCCAGGUGCAGCAACGCCGCGUGAGUGAAGAAGGCCUUCGGGUUGUAAAACUCUUUUCUGAGGGAUGAGGAAGGACAGUACCUCAGGAAUAAGUCUCGGCUAACUACGUGCCAGCAGCCGCGGUAAGAAGGAGGCGGCGAGCGUUAUCCGGAUUUACUGGGCGUAAAGGGCAAGUAGGCGGCAUAACAAGGCAGUUGUGACAGAGCCCGGCUCAACUGGGAGAGGACGAAUGAGACUGUUAAGCUAGAGGACAGGAGAGGGGAGCGGAAUGCCUUGUGUAGCGGUGGAAUGCUCAGAUACAAGGAAGAACACCAGUGGCGAAGGCGGCUCUCUGGCCUGAUCCUGACGCUGAAGAGCGAAAGCUAGGGGAGCGAACG
RNAcentral lists this ribosomal RNA (403 nucleotides) under uncultured prokaryote. RNAcentral describes it as "bacterial SSU rRNA". It matches the Rfam family "Bacterial small subunit ribosomal RNA", at positions 355 to 774 of the family's 1533-position model. The record is from RNAcentral.